AUUGAACGCUGGCGGCAGGCUUAACACAUGCAAGUCGAGCAGGGUGAUGGUGCUUGCACUAUCACUUAGCGGCGGACGGGUGAGUAAUGCUUAGGAAUCUGCCUAUUAGUGGGGGACAACAUCUCGAAAGGGAUGCUAAUACCGCAUACGUCCUACGGGAGAAAGCAGGGGAUCACUUGUGACCUUGCGCUAAUAGAUGAGCCUAAGUCGGAUGAGCUAGUGGGUGGGGUAAAGGCCUACCAAGGCGACGAUCUGUAGCGGGUCUGAGAGGAUGAUCCGCCACACUGGGACUGAGACACGGCCCAGACUCCUACGGGAGGCAGCAGUGGGGAAUAUUGGACAAUGGGGGGAACCCUGAUCCAGCCAUGCCGCGUGUGUGAAGAAGGCCUUAUGGUUGUAAAGCACUUUAAGCGAGGAGGAGGCUCUUUUGGUUAAUACCCAAGAUGAGUGGACGUUACUCGCAGAAUAAGCACCGGCUAACUCUGUGCCAGCAGCCGCAGUAA
Molecule: ribosomal RNA, 503 nt
Filed under: uncultured bacterium
Lineage: Bacteria
Description: partial 16S ribosomal RNA
Rfam family: Bacterial small subunit ribosomal RNA
Source: RNAcentral